ACAUCCUAUCCUCUCGAUGCACUCACACUCCACACUCUCUGUCAUAGGAGCUUCUUCAUAUCCUCUCAUAUCCUAUCCUCUCAGAGCUUCUUCCUCUCUCCGUCCACGCUCUCUCCAUCAUAGGAGCUUCUUUCACCGCCGUCGCUCUCUCCAUCGCUCCGUCCACGAUCUCAUCACUGACAGCAAUGGCCAUUCGUUGGUCAUCUUCAUCCACCGGUUCAGUUCCUGUGCUGUUCAGGUAUGGCUUCAGGAAUCGAAACUAUUACACACUAAACAAACCAACAAACCCUAGCAACAACAUUAUCAAUCUUACUCUCACUUUGUAAACUUGAAGUGCAGCGAUUAGAAUCUUCUCUGGUUAGAUUUUCAAGCAGUGAAACUGUUACUGCAGAAUUCUGCAGUGAAGAAUGCCAUUCCAUACUAUAGUACCAGGAAAAAACCAUCUACUUUGAAAAAUGAGAGAGAAAACAUGAAAGAUCAACUGGACCUUCGCUAUAGUAGCAAAAAUCAGAGUGAGGUGGAAGUGGAAACUGAACCUGGAAUUCUUGAUGAAAGUAUUAAUGCUGUAGAAAUAGAUCCAGUAUCAAAGAUUCAGUCAUCACUUGAUAGUUCUCUUGCAAAAGCUACAAAAACGAAUAACAUACAUGAAGGUCAACUUAAUAGAUCCCAAGGCCAUGCAAAUGGUUCAAUAAAAUCAAUGGGGGAAGGAGAACUUGUGACAAAAGAAAAAUUUGAACGUAUAAAAUCAAUGCUAGAGGCAGAGUUAAGUGAUAUUCAAGAGCGGUACUUCCACAUGAGCCUUAAAUAUGCUGAGGUAGAAGCUGAGCGUGAAGAACUUGUGAUGAAGCUCAAAGAGGUCUCUUCCAUAACCUCAGAAAAGAGGUGAAUGGCUUGAGAAUUGGUUUGGAAAUGAGAAUUGCACAGUUAGAGAAUGAGAAGAGUUCCUUACUUCAAAAAGAGGUUGGAUUGAUGGAAGAAACCAAGCGUGCUGAGUGAAAAAGAAAUUUUGAGCCUUAAAGUGGAGAAUUUACUGGAAAAAAUUAAUCUUCUUGAGAGUGAUUUGAGUUCCUUUGUUGAGAACGAGUUUUCUAGGCACUUGCAGCAUUAGUACUUAAGACUGGUGUUACCAUUCAGCAACGUGCAGAGAGACUCUUCUUCACAAAGGUAAUUUGUACUCCUUUAUGAAGUAGGAUAUACUUCCAGUGGCUUUUAUAUUCAAAUCCUGUAUGCUUCAUCUCCAAAUUUGGUUGAUGCUUUUGCUCCUGGAAUUUUUAUUGAAUUUGUUUUGCAUUCUAAUAAACUAUGUCUGUACAAUUUUGGUUGACUAACUGACAUAACAAAUUUUCAAUCCUCCAUUUUAAACAAUAUUUGCAAUAAUAUAAUUAUAUAGAAGGGUCAGUUAGUUGCUGUUAAAGGAAUGGAUUCACAGUUUUAAUUUUUGUCAAACACUAGACAAAGCAAUGAUUUUUUUGGAAGAACUUAGAAAAUUGUAAUAGUACUGGGAUAAGAUUUAUUUAUUUAUUUUUUUUCUGAAAUAAAUGGUUUUUGGAUUUAGAUUGAAGAUGGUUUGAAAGGGUAAAAAUAAUAAAAUGGUUUUUUGAACUUAAGUUGAAGAUGAAGAUGUUUGAUGGAAGCAAGAAUGAAGUGACUUGCAUUGAAUUUGGUUUCUAUAUUGGGUUUGUUACUUUGUUUCCACCUACCAUUGCUGAUAUAUAGCUGAGUGAACUUUGGUACAUGUCAUGAAAUCUAUUAUGAUCAGUUCCACAUAAAUUAAACUCCAAAGGACCUCUUAAUAUUUAUUCCUUGUAUGAUUAGCUUACAGAUACAAAUAAUUACUAAUAUUUUUCUAGUGCUUAUUAACCUUGGUGUUUCAUUCAUAUAGAUAUAUAUCAUAGAAGAUUAUAUAGACACAGUUAUACAUACAUAUAAAAAAUCUCUGACAUAUAUAGCAUUAUUUAAUUUCCAUAUUUUUCAGAACUAUAUGUAAUAUAAAAGGUUAUAUCCAUUAUGAAGCAUUUAAGCUUAUCAUCAAAUUCUAAAGAUAAAAAGUGGUCUCAGAUGUCUUAAUAACAUAAAAGUUUGAUGGUGAGUAUGAAGGUGAGCUGUAACAGGUUCAUGUAGCAUAGUCCAGAAAGUUGUGAGGAAUGCUGGGAUGAUGAAGAAGAAGCAGUAGCAGCAGAAAGAGCAAGUGAAGUGAAUUUUACAGAUGAGAUAAGUGGAAUUAACACAGGAUCUCCUUCACCAACUUCAUCUAAUGAAUCCUCUAUUACAAGUUAAUUAUUAGAGCAGCGAAAAUUGUUCAAAUGAGUUAGGAAAUUGAAUAGGAGUUGCUUGCAGCAUAGAUCUUUUAAUUUACUAAUAUGAGAAAAAUUAUUUAGAGCCCUUUGGAUACCCAUUAACGACUUUUAAUUUACUCAAUAAACUUUGUUGAUGUAUGGUUGUUAUUUAUUAUUAUAGUUGAUGUAUCAAUACAUAUUGUUUAUAUUUUGAAUUA
Arachis ipaensis is the source of this 2494-nucleotide non-coding RNA. The record is from RefSeq and is a predicted model, not a curated record. Lineage: Eukaryota; Viridiplantae; Streptophyta; Magnoliopsida; Fabales; Fabaceae.